This 291-nucleotide long non-coding RNA is filed under the name Manihot esculenta (cassava). RNAcentral's name for it is "long non-coding RNA (MESC_LNC001460)". The record is from RNAcentral. Lineage: Eukaryota; Viridiplantae; Streptophyta; Magnoliopsida; Malpighiales; Euphorbiaceae.
AUAUACACACAGCAUAUGACGGAACAGUGAGAGAUGCUCAUGGGUAUCAACUUGUUCAGUUCUCCUAUAAUAUCGAGGCAGAGUUCGGCUGGAAUGUAAGGAGCGUCUAAAGGAGUAUAGGGAGUCUGCCGAGCUAAAAAAGAAGAGGGGAAUCCCACAGACUCGUGAAGCUCAUCUUCCGAACUGUAAGGAUUCAUUGAAAGCUAAAAUAAUAGUGUAGGUGAUAGUGAUGUAGAUGAUAAUGUACCUAGGCAUGUAAGUCCUUUGAGGACGGUUUUUCCCUUAGUAGUG